Molecule: ribosomal RNA, 564 nt
Filed under: uncultured Pelagibacterales bacterium
Lineage: Bacteria; Pseudomonadati; Pseudomonadota; Alphaproteobacteria; Candidatus Pelagibacterales
Description: bacterial SSU rRNA
Rfam family: Bacterial small subunit ribosomal RNA
Source: RNAcentral
UACUUAGUGGCAGACGGGUGAGUAACAUGUGGGUAUCUACCCUUUGGCCUGGAAUAACACGAGGAAACUUGUGCUAAUACCGGAUAAGUCUUUACGGAGAAAGCUUUAUGCACCAUUGGAUGAGCCCGCACUUGAUUAGUUUGUUGGUAGGGUAAUGGCCUACCAAGACUAUGAUCAAUAGCUGAUUUGAGGGGAUGAUCAGCCACAUCGGGACUGAGACACGGCCCAAACUCCUACGGGAGGCAGCAGUGGGGAAUCUUGCACAAUGGAGGAAACUCUGAUGCAGCGAUGCCGUGUGAGUGAAGAAGGCCUUUGGGUUGUAAAGCUCUUUCGUCGGGGAAGAAAAUGACUGUACCCGAAUAAGAAGGUCCGGCUAACUUCGUGCCAGCAGCCGCGGUAAUACGAAGGGACCUAGCGUAGUUCGGAAUUACUGGGCUUAAAGAGUUCGUAGGUGGUUGAAAAAGUUGGUGGUGAAAUCCCAGAGCUUAACUCUGGAACUGCCAUCAAAACUUUUCAGCUAGAGUAUGAUAGAGGAAAGCAGAAUUUCUAGUGUAGAGGUGAAAU